Long non-coding RNA from Gallus gallus (chicken), 19717 nucleotides. RefSeq lists it as uncharacterized. The transcript is spliced from 3 exons. Lineage: Eukaryota; Metazoa; Chordata; Aves; Galliformes; Phasianidae. The record is from RefSeq and is a predicted model, not a curated record.
AGAUGUGUGGAGAGUACAGAAGGUGUGGCCUCAGAUUUCUGCAUGCAUAUUUAACUAUCAAUAAUUACAUGGCCUUCAGGUUAUUAUUAAAGAACAAUCUCCCGUAGAGGAGGACUUACAAGGCUAAAUGAGGCCUAAAACAUUUCUUUGAGUACAGAGCAGAGAAGAAGAGCAGGAAAAGCCCAGGUUACUCACGGUUCUUUUCACCUCUCCACCUUGACCCCGCUCUCAUUCUAGGCGAGAUGUCCACAGCAGCAGUGACUCCUACCAGCCACAGCAGCAGCAGCAGUGACAGCACAGCCAUACCAGGGAUACUUCUCUCCUUGAGACAUGAUGAAAGCUUCAGCCUCUCACUCUGGAAGUCUGUAAGGAACGAGGUCAGCUCUCAUGCACACAGAAGCCUUCCAUUCUUCUCACAGCCAAAGCCACUUCCUCACACAGGGAGCUCUCUGUCAGCCUCUCCUAAAGAGAGGUUGUGCUGGAAAUGGAUAGUCUGGCUUGCUCCAGAAAGUCACACACUGUGUUAUUGCUUGAGAGGGCAGGCAAAGAGGAGCCCAGCCUGCACAGCAUGGGCUCAUGAGUCGAGUCCUCCUGAAAGCCAUGCAAAGAUCAUGUCAGUAGGUUGGCUUCCUCACUCUGUUUCAGCAUCCUAACUCUGGCCUCCACAUACUGUUCCUAUCCUCCUUUUUUAAUCCCCAGUUAACCAGUCCCUAUUCAGUGCUGAGACCCCAUAUGAGGCUCACAGGAAAGGUUGGGUUGAGGAUUCUGCCAACAUCAGUGAAUAACAGAUAAUGAGAGAUCAACCUGAGAGUGGUGCUAUCUCAGCAGCCUUCUGAAUAAAUCUCAGGAGAUAAAAAUAAAAAACACAUCAUACCUUGUCUGCUGACCUUGCUGUACAUUUCAGCUCAAAAUGCUAGAAACUGGAGCCAGUCUACCAAACAUAUUAAAAAUGUGACUUUUUCACAGAUGAAGAUAUUCAUAUUCAUAUUCAUAUUCAUUCUGCUUAUUUAAGAAAAUAAAUUGUUUUCUACACAUGCGUGUUGAGUCAGGGAUGAUGGCAGAACACAAAAUACAAUAAUUUUUUUCCUGGAUUGAGGGGCACCAGAAGCACAGGGAAUUUCGGCAUUUUGGCAGAUGGGCAGAAAAGAGGAAAUAAGACAAAAUGUACAAACUCUGGUACCAAAGCCUGGGUGCAUUUUUUCUGCAUCUGCCAACAUUAUUCCAACCUAAACUGAGAGCGUUAUACUAUCUUUACACAAGUGUGUGAAGGCAUUUCCUUUGCAGUGCUUUCCUACUGAUCAUAACAUGUAUGAAGGUCAGUGCCUCAUAGCCCACUAUAAAGAAAUCCCAGCUGACAGAUGACUUCAGCAGGGAAUGGCAUUGGUGUAAAUGAAAGGAUUGAAACAAAAAAAGAAAAAAGGACAUUCUUACAUUUUCUACUUUAGCUGGGAAAACUUAAUUCUUUAAUGCUGAUUUUUGUUAUUUUGGAGACUAAGUAACUCAUAACCAUUUUAGUAAUGACAUGGCUUGUGUCCCAAAUGGUACAAAUAAUUCACUGACCAUAGAAGAGCUACGAUAAACUGUGAGCAUCUGGACUUCUCUGCUUUGAUCAUCAUUUUCAAAGCCUCCUUGAGAAAGAUGGAUGCUCAUUCCUAUUAAGAGAACAAUGGGAGCUGGGUUGCCAUACAUCCAGAGAGAAGGCAGUAAUAUAAUUUUCAGCAGUCAAUGAAAGUUAGUGGUCUGACUUCUUUGAAAAUUUCCCCAGUGAGAUUCUUUGGGUGAAUUAGAGCUAUGGGGUAAUCCUGUAAAUUGGAACAGAAUCAAUAAGCUAAAUGAAAACAUUUACCUUAAAUUAUAAUUUAAACCCUGAGCUGUUGGAAUAAAAAAUCCCAUAUCCCUAAUAGCUGUAUGGAAAUAAAAAUGUUUCAUCACUAGCUGAUAUGUCUUAAAGAGCAUGGAGCUAAAGCUACCAACUAAAAUCUUAUAUUAACUCUACAAUCAAGUGAAAUAUAACACAAAUAUUGUUUGUUUUUUUUUCUGUGUGUUGCAAUAUACGGGUUCUCAAUACAUAGGGAACUAUGCCUGGCUUUGAUUUAUAUAUUCUACUAAAAAAUCCUUACUCAGUUGAUUUAGGGCAGCACAUGGCAUUUCAUGUUUCACACAGUAUCACUGUACGUAGAUGUGUAAAUGGAAAUCAACGACAAAGAUAUGUUUUUUUUUUUAAUGAGUACCGACAUUUUUAAUCUAGAUAAUCACACCAGUAUGAGUGUUAUGUCAUAGAAUGAUAUCAUAGUAACUAACACGUGGGAUAACUAACAUUCUUAAGUAUAUGAGCAACUUGUAAUUAAUAACUUAAAUAAUAAAGUCAAUAUUAAUUGGUAACUGCUUCCAAUAUAAGCUCUGGUUCAAGUAAUGCAUGGAGGUUUUUGUCAUCCACUUGAAGAAAUUUCUUGUGUGUCAGUACUAGGCUUCCUUUAGAUUUGGGUUCAUGUUAUCCUUUUUAUCUGUCAUUAUGGCAAUAAAAAAUGAUACGUUUAAGUGAAAGAUGUGGUUUUAACAAAAACAAUAUGGAUCUAAUAACCAAACUCUCCUUCUGAAAGAUGAAACACGGAAAAUUCAUGCCAUGAAAAAUACGAAUUUUUAAGAGACAAAGCUUUGUAGUAACAAAACUUAUUGGCAGUCUUUUUUUUUUUUUUUUUCUUCCAGAUAAGAUAGAUACGGUGUGUCUAGCAGAAAAAUAAAAUGGAAAGUCACAGUAAUAAGAGAAAAUGAGAGAGUGAUUUCCAUCAUAAGAUGAGAAGGAUGACUGUCAUCUUUUGGAGUUAUCAGUAUGAAUUCCUUUAGAUGAAAAUGAACGUACCCUGAAUGCUGUAAAACGGUUUCAGUGCCUGAUCUCAUUGCAUCCCAUAGAAAACCUGUUUUUCAUCUUAUUAUUAAGCCUAGUCUAAUGUUUUUUGAAUCAUCUGGCUUUCCAUGUUAGCUAAGUUAACACAUUUGCUUCUCACUUACAUGUGGUUUUGUUCUCUGCUACAUUUCACAGAUUUCUGCUCUGUUGACAGCUAUUCUAGGUGCACCCAGAGCUAUUUUAAAGAUGAAAGCUUUAGCACGACUUUUUCAAUAGGCCAGUAAAGACAAUAGUUUCAAAUUUAUGAGGCAAGAAAAGAAAAUAACUCUAAACUCUCUCUUCUUUGUAUUUAUGUCAGAUCUUUAAAACAGCAGCCACAGACUCACCAGAAUAAAUAAUAAAUUUGUAAGUAUUAAACGUAUAUUACUAAAAUCCAGUAUAGUUCAGAAGGGAAGGUUUUAGAAAGGAGGAGUAAAAAAUAUCCUCUAAACUCACUGGUUCUCCAAACAGCCUAUUUGCAGGACUGCAGAGUUCAUAAGGACACUGUAGUCUAAAAGCAAAUCCUGUACAUGCACACAGUAUGGCAGCCUGCCUCCACCUUGCAAAAGAAGUACCACAGUUUUAUCAAACUGAAGACUUUAUGUUAGCUAAAAUAAAGACCAGUAGUGCUAUGGAGGAGGUGAGUAUAUGCAAAGUGUGACUGUCAGCCCUGGGGACUGAUGUGUACCCAUGCUGUGGACAUCCCCUUCCAAGAUCUACCAUUAGCUCUGCUAUGCAGUCAGCUUUUAUGAAUUAAUUCAAUUUAAAUAAAUAAAUUAGGCAACCCUACAAGAAGUCUGCAGAAAUCUAAAGAAGCAUUUGGUUCACAAACCUCAGGGCAGGUUUUGAUCCCACAUAAGCCCUUAUAACAUCUGGAAACAAGGAAGGAGGAGAGAGCACCCUCCCAAAACGGCACCGAGCUCUUCCCUUUGAUAAUCCAUGCUUACACUCCCUUCUCUUUUGUAAUCUUCUUCCUCAAUUUCUACUCCACCUCUUCAUCCCUUUCGUAACUUCUGUUGUUCCCAUUCAGUUUAUUUAAAAUUCACUCAUUAAACAUGAUGUUGAUGAAGCUAAAUAUUUACACAGUCUUUUCUCAGAUUUUGUCAUCAAUUGAAUUAAUACAUAUCUUCCCUUCAAUCUAACUUUCUAGAGAUUCCUUAACAAUUUUCUCUUAUUUUAAUAUGAUCGAUGCAACACAACUCUCUAUUUGGAGCAGUUCAAGUCUUUUUCAUGGCUAUAUAUAUACCUCCUCACACAUAUAUAUGUGCACGUGUAAUAUUUAUUACAAUAUGUAUUUACUAUUUGUUUAUAGUAAAGGAACAGAUGGAGACUAAAAUUAAGAGAACACUUAACAUCUUGUUUUGUAAGGUAGCAGCUUCUCCUUUAACUAGCUGCUACACUUUGUAAUGUGCAUUGUAAGGCCACCUGUGGAUCCAUUACCAUUUAUCCAUAAUUUAAGCUAUUAGCCUUAGCACUACAUGACAUAAUUUGUUGCUUACAACAUAUGUUGGCAGUUUCACUCUGUGAGGUCCAUUUUCUGACUCCGAAGUGUUGGCAUACAGCAAAAUUGUGCAGUGUAUACACAGAAGUCCCUAGAGUAAACUUAAAUUUGUAACUCACAUUCCUGCUCAGUUUGUUUAGAAUUUGGUACAUUCUGAAUUUAUGAUUCUGAGAUGUAACGUGGCUUACUGUCUUUGUUACAUAAUGACAUGUGCAUCAGAAAUUAGGAACUGUAACUUGCCAUGCCAUAGUUUAGAAAAUGAUACUUCACCUGACAGGUGAAGUAAAAAAGAAAAAGCACAAACAUUCCCCAAAUUUACAGGAGCUUUAGCCAAAAGACAGCCUAGUCAGAGCUUAAUAGAGUAAUGAAACAGUCUAUUAAAUUUGCAGCUAAGACUUAUUGUAUUGGCUUUUUAAAAUUAACCCCAAAGAAAGUGGGCAGAGCAAUUGCUUUUAAAAACUGUUCUUGUUGUUGUUUUUUUUUUUUUAACUUCUUAAUGUUUAAAGAAAUUAAGACCACACGUGUCACUAUAUUAAACAUUCUUGAAACAAAUAAUACUAAUUAUUGGCAUCAAUAUAGCCAGAUGGAUUUUAAACAAUUUUAACAUAAACAAUAAAACUCAUUUUCAUUGGUACUGGAUUUAAAUAAUCAGUUCUAAAACCAUUUGGGACCAAAUAUGUACCCAACUGAAAUACAGGCUACAAGAAGUGACUGUAGAUAUUAUGAAGAUCGUUAUUUGUAUUUACAGUGAAAUAUUUUUUCACAUCAAAAUGUUGAGAUGUGAAUGGUUUGGGGUGUAUUCUGGGGUGCCCCAUCCCUGGAGGUGCUUAAGGCCAGGUUUUAUGGGGCCAUAGGCAGCCUGAGCUGGUGGGGGGUAGCCAUGCCCACGGCAGAGGUUGGGGCUGGGUGGGCUGUAAGGUGUCUCUGGAUAAAAUUUGUUACAAAACAGAAGCAUACAUGCUUUUGAAUGUGAACCACCAUAAGUCCAUUAAUAAUUACUGGGUCUUGAAUUAACUUGUGAAGUUCUGCAAAAGAAUUUUACAACUGUAUGCCUUAUUUCCUUCUUACUGGCAAUCCACAGCUCAUUGUAUUGCAAGCAUAGAAGUCUAAAUUAAGUAUAGCCAAAGAUAUGAUUUAUCAAACAGGAACAUAUGCACAUGGUAAUAGUCAAUCUUUUCCAGUAAUAGAUAGAUAGAUAGAUAGAUAGAUAGAUAGAUAGAUAGAUAGAUAGAUAGAUAGAUAAAUUCACCAUUCUUUUAAGGGACAGGUAAUGUUUUUUUUAGAUUUUCUAGAGUGAGUAUGAAUAGCACUGAGUACUUAAUAUUUAGUUCCAUAUUUCUGUCCCAGCAGAUGGUUCCUUCAAAAUCACCCUCCCAGUUUUCCCUCUCAAAAUAGUUCUCUAUGCAAAAUUUCUGCUGCUAGCAGCAGAGCAAGAUUUUCUUGUGUUCUUAAAGUAUUUCUCCACUCCUCAUGAAAACAAACACACAAGAAGAUACUAGUACUUCAAACACGGAGAAGGGAAUGGUAAGGAAGGUCAUAAUCAUAAUCAUAAUCAUAAUCAUAAGGCAGAAUUUUAAAACUAAAGUAAUAAGAAUGAUAAAUGAAACAUGAAUUGUAGCGUUAAAACUAAAAUUAAAAAUCAAAAAGGGAAGGAAAAAAAUCAAUAGAAAACAAAAGUUUGCAUAUGGUUUGAGAGCCAAGAAACUUAAAAUGUUAUGAUAGAAUCACAAUGACUUUCUAGCCAAGUUUCCCAUAUAAAAAAGUAAUCUUCACUCCAGUGAGACCAUUUGCAUUGUGCUUGCUACUGAUGCCAGAAAACCUCUUUUUAAUUUGCAAAAAUGUUAAAAAAAACAUAAAAGCUAAAAUCACUAGAGAUUUUCUUUUCUUUUUAGGAGUGAAAUAACUGAAGAUUCCUCUGCUCAAGAACUUUGUUACUGUGCAUUUAGUUUGCCUGAAAUCCAUAAAGUAAAACUUAUGGUUUAGCACUCCUGUUAUAGGAAUUCUUUUAAAUAAAAUUCUAUUAGACGUAGUACAUCAAAACAUGAUCCUGAAAUAGUCUAUGUGGCUAUAAUUAUAAUAGUCUAUAAAACUGAAAUAUUUUAUAAUAAUGUAUGUAACGCAUACAGUUUGUUUACUAAGAAACUUUAACAAGCAAUAUUAUUUAUGCAGAACUAUAACAUAGUGGAUUUGUCACAUAUGUAGACAAAUAAGCCUGGUUACAUACUUGCAUAUGUAUGUGCAUGUAUAUACAUAAGUCAUGAGGUAGACAGGAGCAAGACUGUUAUUUACUAUAAUACUAUAAUAUUACUAUAGUAUAUAUAGUGUAUAUAUAUAAUACUAUACUAUUACUAUAAAUUUACUAACAAUCUUUACAAUUUUCAACAUAAGUCUAGUAAAGCUUUUCAUUAUUAAAACUGUGUUUUCAUUCUUCAUUUUGUUCAGAAGAACAUGUAUAUAAUAUACUUGCUUUGUUCUUCAAAAAACUGAAUGUGUUACGCUGUGAAUUUGUUUUUAUUUCAGCUUUUGCAGUCUCAGCUUAACUAAGGUAAUGACCAGUCGGCAUUUAUCACAUUUGCAAAGUUUUAAUAUUUCUUUUUUUUUUAAAUUUAUUUUUUUUUUAUUUUUUAAUCAGUAUAAAAAUACUAGGUACUUAUGCUCAGUGUAUAUCAGACAGGGUACAUUAUUGUGACUAACAUUAAUUCCAGUGUAUGCCCUAAAACAAAUCUCUUCAGCAUUAAUUUUAUUAGACUAUCAUAUAUGCUGAAUAGUAUUGUUUUUAAUUAAUUCUAUUCAGUUUAACUCCAGACACACAGGGGAGUUUGGGUCAUCCACCUUUUUCUGAAGAAUAGGAAUAGAGCAACAAGUCUUCAGUUAGCCAUGGCGGCUGCUCUUAGCCCCAUAAACACAAAAAUAAAACCAGAUGUCAGAGAUCUGCACAAGAGAUUUGAAGAUAUCUUAUGGCUCUCAGGCACAUAAUAAAACUCUAAUGAAAUUUUUAGAUGAGGUAGUAGGAUUUAAAUAUCAUAAAAUCCUCACAUGACAUAUUUUAAGAUUUUUCUACCUCAUACAAUGUCAAAACGACUAUUAAUACUAUUUAAAGGGUGUUUUUUUUCCUCACUCUCUCUCUAAAUUAAGGAAAUUGGAUUUAUAAACUCAUAAUAAAACCUAAUUUUCAAAAAGAACAAUGCAAGCUAAGAUAUGUCAAAUUUACAACACCAUAGAACCACAUUCAAGAUAUUUUUCUGCUGAAUGAAAUCUUGUUUAUCUUCAACUCUCCUUCUCAUGUUUAAAAAACAUUAGACAUAUUUUGAUGUAAAGCUGUGAAGAAUGUCAACUAAUAGCGUAGCUCAGAGACACAAAAAUAGCCUUACAGAAUACUACACCCUUAGAGGUGAUGUAGUCAUGUGGAGAAUGAUGGAAAUCUUUAUAUUGGUUUACACAAAUUUUAGUAAAACACCAUGACAAAAAGAGUUGUCUGUCUCAAAAAGACCUUUUAAUCUGAUGACUAGGGAAAGAAGCAAAGAACAGCUCUGCUCUGAAAUUUUAAAUUCUAGAAAAUAAGCAUGCAAUAAAAAUUCCAAGUCCUGUUGAAGUGUUAAUAUCAUAUAUAUAUAUAUAUAUAUAUAUAUAUAUAUAAUGCUAUUAAAAUCCUACGGUACAAAAUUUCUUCCUUUAAGGAAGAAACUUGCCUCCAUAAACGAUGUAUAAGGGUGAGAAUGUAAUCGCUACCCAAUUUAGAAAGAUACAAUAAAGAAUCCCAAGAAUGUGAAACUUGUGUGGUGAAGUUUAUAGUGUAAUGUUGAACAAUUUUGUGGGUUGAAAUUAAUUCAUUCCCUUUAUUCUUUAAUCAGAUAGAUUCAAGAUUACAAAAAAGAUUACAGCAGUUUACUAGAAGUGGUUUUCUAGAUUAUUGAAGUAGUUUUCUCUUAUUUUAAAUCAGACAAUCCUAAAACGAUUUCUUUCUCAUUAUUAUGAAAAACCCUAAGGAAAUAAUAUGCAAUUUUAAAAAUAUUUUUUAGACAUAUUACACUGGAUCAUUGUUUUGAAAUUUUUUAUGUAUUAUGUAUUUAACCUCUAAUUAAAAGUAAUUUACAAUAAUGCACGUAGCGUCUUCAGCUUUGUUAACCAAGAAAGUUUUUGAAGAAAUCUUAAACUUCAGUCUGUUUUACUAUUUUUUCUAAACUAUUUUUUUUUCCAGCAGAAACCUCGUCCAUGGUUCUCAUUACUGAUACUCAAACUAAUUUAAUACAGGAGAAUGUAUUAUAGUGCUCGUUGUUCCUAAAGCAAAUACUAAUUCUAAUUUAGUGGGUUUUUCAAUGAAUAAUACACUACCAAAGCACAUUCCUAUUCCCAUACCAAACAUUGCCUUUGAAGUUUAAGUUCUCUUGCAUUAAGUAUUGUAUUAUAAACAAAAUUUAAACCUUGUAUAUGAUGCUUUUAAGAUGUGAGACCUAAGAUUUUUUCUCACAGAAAAGCUAGCAGAUAAAUAAAAAUGCCCCUCACCAGCAUUUUUCACUGUAUGUUCCAGGGCACAUAGUUAAGAAUAUUUCUCUAAAAACAAAACAUGGAAUAAACAUAAACGUCUGCCUACAGAUAGGCCUUGGUAGGUUAUGAACAAAAGCCUCAAGUGGAUUGCUAUAGUCAGUUCUGAAUUAAUCUCAAACCUCACAAAAUAUCUAAUGAAUAACAGACAAUGCCCAAAAAAAUGAAAUAAAAAUCUUGGAAAUGUCCUAUAGAUAUAAUUGUCUUAAAGAAGAAAACGGUUUUUCAAUAUAACUUACAUAGUACAGUGGAUAAAAUGGUAAAGAAGACAAUAAACUGGUAGAAGCAUAGUUGAUAAGAUGAUCUCUCUCAAAUUAUCACAUACCAUUCAGUCAAGACAAAUGAGGUUUUGACCUGAUAUAUCACAGAAGUCAAAGAUGUCAAAAUUGCACUUUAUAAGAAUUCAUUAUGAAAUGUAACUAGUGCCGAAAUUAACCUUUGUGCUCUACAGAAAUUACAUUACAACAUAUAGCUCAGGGAUACAAUGAACUAGUUAAUAUCUGUCCAUGGAAAGCAGAAGUGUAUUUUUGGAGUCAUUAGUCAGACGUGGACAAGAAGAAGUCCAGGAAUUGUAUUUAUGAGUAAAGAUGGGUUACCACAAGGAAGCUUAUCAGUUUAUUUGCCAUAGUCUUCAUCCAUCUCUUCUCCCUGAUGCCUAAGAAAGUGAAUCAGAUUAUAGAUGUCACAGUCUAUAGUGUUUUAAUACAAGAGUUCUGUGAGUAGUUCAAUAGCUGCUUAACAUGUGGCUUUUUCAGCUUCACAGAUGAGAGUAGCAACUCUCCACUACAUGAUAGUAUGCAUUUUGUUUGUAGAUCACCUUGGCUAGUUAACUUCAGCCAGCUACUGCCACUGGCCAAAUUCAGCUCUGAACUACUGUUCCCACACUCACACACACUCAGGUCAGGGAUCAGGAAUCUUUCUUAACACCUUAGAAGGUAGUCUCAUUCUUCUGGGCUGAAUACUUCAAGCCUGGGAAGGAUCAGCACCAGAUAUCCCACACUUCAUCCUUCUUAAGUUGCCGUGCAAGUUUUGGGCCAAAGAAAACAAAUUACAGAAGAAAAUGAAAAUUUAUGUUUGGUUUCUGAGCAUGCUGCACAGAAAGACCUGGACAUUUAAUGUAGUUAUGUGCCAUGGAUGUCCUCCCUCCUUCUUCUAUUCAUCCUGACAGGUAGGGUAGAAAUUCCUGAUAAUUAAGAACCCAGGUCUCCAUCAGUGAGUUAUUCUGUUCCAGCUACAUAGCACAGCAAAAACAAACAAACAAACAAACAAAAAAAAAACAAUUGUGAAAGGUCCUGGUGUGAGCAGGGAAACAAAUUGAAACUGAAAAUUCUUCUAAUGUCCACAUCCAUAGCUUUGUAAGUGUGAAACCUAAACUCAAUUUCAUAUUUACCCAAGGAGAAGGCAACUUGCAAGCAAGCAAAACUAUAAUAAACACACCAGAAAGCUACUGCCUGUCAGUAUAAUCUACUAAGAAUACAGUUCCUAAGCUCCAUCCUUCUAGGUAUGUGGGAAAAAGAAGUCAUUACUGCAGUGCAAAGAGACGAUAUUCUUCUUUAAGGUCAGAGGAGCAACUUGCAUUUGCUGUAAAAUAGACUCCUUAAAGCACAGUAUGAUCAAAGGGACAAUCCUGAACAAAGCCACAGCACAACUGUCUGGUUUACUAACGUCACAUAUGCUGAAGUGAAUCUGAUAUUACAGGAAUACAGUAUUUGAAAGCACAAUACCUACUAAUUUUUGUAUGUAAAAUACCUUGUAAUAAAUAUUGAAAUGUCAUUGUUCUUACUGCGAUAUGUACUACAGAAAGUGUAAAGUUUGAUUACAGAGAGCCUGCCCAGGCACACAGUCCUGCAUAUACUUUGCACAGCACAUUAAAAAUGGAAUUCUACAGCAGCUGACAAGGCCAGGAAAUGAGGAGAGGGAGAGCAAGAGAAACAGGAACGGGGGGAAAAGAGAAAAUAGUCAGGGAAAUGUAGACCCCCAGACACACAGCGUCUAUUUAUUCAAUCCGCCUGUUGGCUGUCAGGCUACUUCAAGCUCACUGGAAUAUGUUCCAGUGCUGAUAAAAAAUGUGUCACGCAGGGGUGGAGGAAAAAUAGAAAUGUAUGUUGGAAUUUGUGGUCAGAAUCCAUAAUUCCUAUUCAGCAAUGCCUAGUGAAAGAAAAAAAGAGCAAGCAAGCAACAGUAAAUAAUGACUUGACCCUCAGAUUUUUUUUAUUGUUGCUGAGAUUUUUUGAGAGAUUGGUAGACAUGAACUUCCACUUAAUAUUUCUUGCCUCUCUUCUUCUCUAUGUCUGCAUAUGUGUGCAUGUGCAUAUCAGAUUUUGGCUCAUGAUUUUUCCCAUUUUAAGUUGUUAGUUUUGUGUAAACUGUAAGUGUUAUAAGUUAUUUUGAAAAUGUUCUUUUUCUUUGCUUUAAGAAUUGCAUGCAUGCACAAUUUUUUUUUUUUUUUUUUUUUUGUAGCUCAAUGUCAAGAUUCCUGAUGUCUCUUCAUAUAUUUACUAUUUUUACUUGGUGUUGAUUUUGUACUUUGGAUGAAUAUGUAAAUACUGGAAAGAAAACUGAAAAAAAAUCAGGAGUGCUUAACAGACACUUUUUGGAAGAAGUCUUCAAAGCAACAUGUGUUUUCACCAGUGUAGAUUACAUUUACAGUUUUUGAAACAGUCUCUGGGAGGAAAAAGAUAUCUAAAGGAGCUCUAGAAAUUAAUAACUCAGCAUUCUGGAAAAAAACAAAUUUUACAUACUUGUAAUUUAGGAAUAGAAUCACAUAAUCAUAGAAUGGUUUGAGUUAGAAGGGACCAUUUAAGACCAUCUAAUUCCAACCAUAGGCACUUAGAAAUCUGCAGUGUGUUUUUAUGUAAUUUAAUUUUAUUUCUUAGUUCAUAAUUCAAAUAUCUGCCCCAAGCUAGUGUUUCCAAAGGUAUUUCCCUGUAAUGGAAGCUGUAAACUUUAUGGCAUAAGGAAUUCUAUGCUUGUUUGGUUGGUUUUUAUUUUCUUAAUGGUAACUAAUACCUUUCUACAGAUACUAGUCAUUUCUUCUGGGUGAGCCUGAUUUUUACUGGGCUUGCUAGAUAACACAGGGAAUGGACUGAAGAAUAGAGGAAUCAAGUAAACAUAUUGCGAACAGUGAUACUUUAGGAAAAACAGAAGUGAAAUUUGGGUGUAAACAUUGGUGGAGACAAAAGUGUUUGCAGCAAAUAAAGAAAAUAAUUGGAAACAGCAAGUUUUACAACCUGCCUUGGCAGUGGCUACUAGAGGAUCCCAAACCCACUGCAUGACAAGAUCAAAGGCAUCAUGAGUGCUGACAAAGCCCACCGUGUAACAUUGUAAUACUAUUCUUCAAAAGAAUAGACAGUGACUACAGUCUUUUUAGUCCUCCAACAGAAAGCAGGAUGAUUAGAAAGACAAAAAUGUAUAACAUCAAAAUCACAUAACAUACAACCAUAAAAUUAAGGCACAGUGCAUGGCACAGAUGCUCUUGCAAAUGUCCUUAAGAACUCUAGGUGCUAGUGACAGUGAGUUUAAACAGAUCUGGUAAAUUUUGGUCAGUUUAGCUAGAGCAUCUAAAAAGUAGGAUUUUCGAAGACACUCCAUGUGAAGUUAGCUGAUCUUGCCAAAAACAACAGGAGUUUUUGUUGCUGCUUACAGUAGAAAACAGAGUUGUGUUAUGGUUUGCUUUUGAACAUAGCUCUACUAAUCACUGUCUCUGGCUGAAACUACAAAAAUUUUCUGCAGUAUAAAACAUAUUACACAGGUAGUAAUUUAUUUGAUACUUAACUGUAUGAUUGCUAGAAACCCAAUUUUAGACAAGGUGUCAUCCUGAAGGUUUCUGUAAUCAAGGUACAUGUGAACACCUUCAGUGUUCUGGGAUUACAUCGGAUUUCAAGCCUGGAGUAUGCUACGUCAGUGCUCUUAGCAGAUCUCUGCAGUACAAGAGAACACACUGGCAGAAUUCAAGGUGCUGGUUUUAAAUAGAAAGAGAUCUACAUGAUGUAAGCAUAUGCUUAACUGACAAAAUGACUUCCUCUAUGUGACAGAUAUCUUCAGCUAUGUCCUCAGAAACUCAGGGGAUCUGCUGAUCUUCAUUCACUGAGUAGAACUGUACAUCAGAAACUAAACAUGCAUGGCAUGGCUUCUUGAUCAUGCCUGUAUCAUUAAUUCCCAAGGUAAGGAGGCAAUGGGCCACUGACAUUCAAAAAGAUUAAUGCAGAGUUUUCAUUAAUAUUAGUGUAAUUAUGGUUGGUUUUUUUUUUUUUUUCCCUGUUAAUUAUUUUGCACUUGUGGUUUCCAAGUUACAAUGGUCAUACAAAUAGUUGUUAUAAACAUUCUCCUUGUUACUUCUACCACUGCAACACCGAAAUCAUAGAAUUACAGAAUGGUUUGGGUUGGAAAGGACCUUUAAGAUUACCUAGUUUCAACCCCCCGCUAUAGGCAGGGACAUCUCUGUCUAGACGAGAUUGCCCAAAGCCCCAUCCAGACUGGCCUUCAAUGCUUCCAGGGAGAGAGCAUUCACAACCUUGCUGGGCAACCUGUUCCAGUGUCUCACCACCCUCACAGUUAAGAAUUUCUUCAUGAUAUCUAGUCUAGAUGUUAUUUUGGGAGGGAGUCACUUUCUACAUACACUUACUGGAGAACUCUCUGACUUGUAUUAAAUUCUCUGAGGCUGAGGGCUCAUCACUGAGUUGGGUUCAGUUUCUCACCUUAUGUGUUAACUCAUGAUCAGAAAAGGCUUUUAUCUUAAAGAGGGAAGCACUGUGCCUUACAGAGAUGUACCUUUAACAGAAAAAACAUGCCUUGAUAUUCUAUUAUUGGGUUUAAAAGUAAUUCUAAUAAAUCAGGUAACACAUAACGUUUUACCUCAAUCUUUUUAUUCACUGAGGAAAUCAGUGUAAUUAAUUGUAGAUUAGAUGACCUAGAUGCUUUGACUUUUCUUUUGUAUCUAUUAUGAGUCUAGUUUGUCAAAAUAAAAUAAAGGUAAAGUUUCAAAGCUGAAAAGGAAGGCACACCUGCCAAAACGUCUCACUAAUUAGAAAUAAUUUUUAAAAGAGGUUAUUAAAUACAAUUUGUUCUGUAUUUCAUGUCGAUGAAUUAGACUUAAACACUUCAAGUCCUUUCUCCCUUUCUCAGUUUUUUUUUUUUUCCUCCAAUCACAGCUUCCUACAUUGUCACAACAUGGGAAUCCCAAUGAUUUCUUUUUGCAAGUGCAUACAUCUACAGGAAAAAAAAAUGACUAUUCAAUUUAUACCAUUAUUGCUCUGCUCUAUCAUUGUUUCACCACUGUCAACAUAAUGAUAGAUGGCCUGGAAUCAAACAGUGCAAUUAACAUUUCUUCAGCUUAUUUCAUUUAUGUGAAAUAAUAGAAUUUGAUUUUUCUUCUCAGGAAGUUUUGGUUUUUCAAAAUUAAGAUUUUAGAGUAUACAGAAGCUUAGCACUUCCUACAUUUCUUAUGGGGAAAAAAUUUAUUAAAUGUUUGUCAUUAAAAAGAAGCACAGAUCUCAUCAUAAUUAGUCCAUGAAGUAUCAUACUAAAUAAGAAUGCCUCCCAAAACCCAAGAUUUUAACUUACAGUUCAGAUAAUUUUUCUAAUCUUUUUACUUCUUCCCUGAUUAUUAUUUUAAAAUGCAUCCUCUUGAAGAUUUUAAGAUUUUCUCUGCAAAGUUACUCUCUACGAGAGAACUGAAAUAUCUUUUUUUAAAUGAAAAAGGAAAAAACCUUUAAAAUUCUAAUGUUAGUAUGAGCAUGGCAGCUGAUGAAAAUUUCAGGAGCAAGAAACAGAAGUGCAAGAGGUUGAAACACUGCAGAUCUUUUCUCAUCCAGAACAAAGGAGAAUGAGCAUAGCUGAGUCUGCUUGUGACAGCUACUGUUUAAAAAGGUUAAGUAACUUUUCAAAGUCAUAAAAGGAUGGCUUCGCCUUCUGAUUUUUGUUCCCUUGCUCCGUGAUAUCUCCACAGUGCUUCACACUCACAGUAAGACAGCCAUGAGCUAGUAAUGAUUGACAAUUUGCUGUAUUGUCAUCACUACAUUAGAAGCACUAAAAGAAAAAAGAGGCUAUUGACUACAAAACAGUCUGCAUAAAAUCUUAAAGAUCAGUUUUGAACACUUUUCAAGGUCAAUGAAAGGCAUUUCUUAGGAAGCAUCUUCCAGUUACAUAUCUAACCUUCUAUCUUUAGUCCUAGUGGGAAAAAGAAAUACACAAUAGCGUAUCUUUCAGGAGAAGGUAAGAUCUCCUUACAAAUCUUUAUUCAUGUGAAAAGAUAUGGGGUUUUGUUUUUAAACUUUGAGCAAUCCCACUUGGUACUACAUUUCAUAGAAUGAAAGGGUAUCUAGUAACUUCUCCAAAUGAAUUCUAAAAGUGACCUACAUUAGUCAUUGUACUUGCUGUGUUUUGGUUAGUGUACCCUAUAUUCCAUAGAAAACAAUAUGGUAUAUCACAGGAGAGAUAUUAUCUGCGACAUAGUAUACUAUUCUCAGUGUUACCUAGCUGAAAAAGAGCCAGGAAUUAAAAAAAUAAAAAAAUAAAAAAUAAAAAAUAGCUGCAGAAGCUGUCUACCACUGGGAAAAUGGGAGUUCUUUAUGAAUCGGGUACCCAGCAGUAAGGCUGACUUCUUUAUUGGCUCCAGUGAAGUGAGGCAGUCAGUACAGAGAAGGAAAGAAGUAAACAUUCUAGAAGAACUGAACAAGACAUUCAAGGAAACUAGUUUAGCACCUGGUUAAAGACCCAGCAAGGCUGACUUCAGCCUCAUUCCAGACUUGUGUUGGAACAACUGUCCUCGUUGAUUAAAUAUCCAAUAAAUGGACACUUCCCAGAGAUCAGGACGGGCUGCAGGCAUCUCUCUACUUUCCUUCCCUUAAAGGGUAGUUUACACAUUCAAGAUCUGAUAUUGCUUAUGAUCAUUUUUGUAAUUUUAUGCUUUUCCUUGUAUUACUAAAAUGGUCACUUAAAGAACACUGAAAAUCUGUUUAGAUAAAAGUACAGAAAAAAAAAGAGAGAGAAAUUCAUUACUUAAUUUUUUCCCUACAUAGGAGUAAAAUUGAAAAAAUGCUUAACAUUUUCAUCUAAUGGUUCAAUAUCUGAGGCAGAGUUCAGAAAACUACUUAUAUCACAGCUUCCUACACAAUUUAAUUAAUGAGUAAAGUAAUGCAUAAUCCAAUAGGGUUUCAUUUGUAAUUUAUCAUCAAUUAUUGUCCCUCAUUGUAGUGUUAAAUAAUACCAACCUCAUUUGAUGUGUGAAAUGAGUCCCAUUGAUUCCUUUGUCUUUGUAAUUGAAAGGGACAGUCUCAUCAGUUUCAUUAUAGGUUAUUUGUCCUCUAACACAUCAAAGAAGAUUUAUAGCUUAAAUAUUAAAAAAAAAAAAAAAAAAAAUCCAUUACAAAACACAAAUAAGCCAAAAGGUAAAAAUUUAUAAGGUCAGUGAAAUACUAAUAUUAGUUUCAGCUACCCAAGCAUCUUGGAGACAGCAUAUUAACAGCUAGUACAUGAUUUCCCUGUGAAAAUUGCAAUAAAAGAAAUGACCAUAACUUAAAAUCAAUGUUAAUGCAAAGAAAUGUGACAAUGCACAUUGAAGGCCAGGAUACAUUUCUGAUAAAUGUGCUUUCAUAACUGCUGUACCAGUAGCUAUGCCAGUCACACUUGUGUCAUUCUCUGAUUUAGGUCUUAGAGAAAGCUGGGACAGCGUUUCACCAUGCAAUCAUAUUAUUUUUGGCUUAGAAAGAAAAUGUGCUUUUAAAGCAAGCAAUCUAAGCCAUAGAUAGAAAUCAGUCCUCCCUAAUAAGUACUGGAAUCAUCAAAGAAGCUUACAAAUAUGAAGGAACACAUUUACUGGUCAGGGCAGUUAACUCUUUCUAUGCUAGAAUAGGGACUGUAGUGUGGUGUAAUACCAGGACCCAGGCAGAUGAUCAAGACCCACAGUACUUUAUAAAUAUAUGAGCAAUUAUUUAUUUUAUUAUAAGAGGAAAGGUCUACUAUUAUCUACUAUUAUCUACUUAUCUACUAUUUUUGAAUAUUUCAGUUGUGUUCUUUAAUGGUACAGUGUACUACCUUGACAAGGAAUCACUAAGCAGAAAAAAAGAGCACUCAGCUAUCUCACAGAAACCAGCCACCUGAGUAUUCAUGAAGUUCAAUAUUAUUAUUCAUGCAUGAAAGUGCUACUUGUGACAAGUGGUUAUGGAUUAGAAUUGAUUCUUCACGUUAGUCUUUCAGAAUGAACCUUUGCCUUUAUCGUGUUACGUAUUUCCCUGGUGUGAGUCCAAUUCCAUUCUUUCCAUGUAUGGAGAGAAGCAAGGCAGAACUGUAUUUGUAACAUAAUGCUACCUUGCAAAUUGAAUCUGUACUUCAGCCCAAACCCCCAGAUUAUGCAGAUAAAUCAUCUUCAAUUUGAGAAAGAUGAGAAACGAAAGCAAAGAAUAAUUAGUUAGUAUGUCACAACCAAGGAGUUUGCUGAAAUUCCACAGAUUUACUGCAACUUGCACAAGGUAGUAUAGCUCAAUAUUUGCUAGAUGCUUCCACCUGGGAGCAUAUUUCAGUUGCUACCCCAAAAAGGGGAACCUUAGCAAGGCAGUAAGUAAUUACAGUUCUUUUCCUUAUAUAGUCAGAUCUGUCUGAAAACCCGCUAUGCAAAAAUCAAUAUGUAGUUAACAUUUAUAUGACCUAAGAUUUAGCUUGAAAACUUUAUAUUUGAAUACCAUUUCCAUCUUGCUCAUGCUUUAUUUUCUCCAUAAACAUGUCAAGCAUUUGCUUCUGUAAGUAUUGGGCCUCUUUUCCUUAAACACUAUGCCAUCUGUAGGAUGGAAUUUUUUUGCGUUUCACAAAGUAGGGAAUUUUAUACAUAAAACAUACCUAAGAUUGAUUUUCUUAUGAAGUAACAACUGAGUUUCGGUCACAGAAUGCAGCAAAAUUAAACAGUAGCAAGUGAGCCUUAACUUACAGUAAUAACAAACAUUUGCUUAUUUCCACAAUUUUACAAAAGUAAAGAAACAAGAGAAAGGAAGCAUUGCAAAGCAAAGCUUUUACUAGCCCUUGAAUUUUGAAGGAAAAAAAGACAAGCAAUCUCUUAUACAAAUACACAUGCACAGCUGUAUCUUAGGUUUCCCUGCUCUCUCUGAAUACUGAGUCAAGAGAACAGGAUUUUUAACAGAAUGGAAAGGUCUUACACUACGUGAGGGAGAAUUUUGAAUGGAAGAGUUGGUAUGAAAUCUGAGCAGCCCUGCCAUCAGCCAGGUUUCCCUGGGGUAAUCCUGAUGGAACACCACCAGUCACUACAAUUGCACUCAGAGUAGUGAGCAAAGAGGAAAUCUCAGGUAAAGGUCUUUAGGCUUUCACACAAAACAACUGUCAUAAUUUCCACCUGGGAGAUGAUAAUAUGUUUAACAGAAAGUUCUCUCCAAGAUUCAGAAUGUAACACAUGAACCAAGCUGCAUGCACAACAAUAGUGUGAGAAGAAAGAGAAAAGCCACAGAAGAUGAUGAUUGAGGUCAUUUAAAGAAACAGUAAAUAAUGGCAAAAGAAAUGAGAUAAUAGGAACAAAGGAAACAAAGUGAGGGGUCUCUAUGGAUGAGAUUUCCACUACUGCCAAAAUAAACACACAUUGCUAUGUUAAUUGGUUUAGAAUUGUCUGUAUACUCCCUUUAUUAAUAAUAGAUAUUUUGUUUUCCUGCUCAUUUUGCUACUAUCAGAAAAUACUAGGCCUCUGCAAAAGUUGCCUACAUAUAAAAUGAAAACCUGAAUUUACAUUAUACUACAUUUUCCCUUACUAAUUUCACUUGUGAACAAAAUAUGUAGCUCACUCUGAAAGUAAUGCCUUCUAUCUAUUUCCCUGGAAACUACAACAGAUACAAAGAGCACAGUAACAUUGUUUGGAUAGAGCAAAAUCUCCACUACAGAACACUAGUUUUCAGUAUAAUCACUGCUGUGAACUAUGCAUGUUUCCCAUCAAUGAACAGGAGCCUGCAUGCCAUGCUCAUCAAAAUCUGCACAAACAGAGGUGACCCAGUACUGCAGUUGGCAGUGCUAAAAUGCACCACCCACAGCCUCACUGUGCUCACAUCCACUAGUUGGUCUCCAGAAACAGUCAGCAACCAUUGAUGAAUGUCAAUGGGUGCAGUGUUUUCCACAUGGAGGAAUUCAGUGACACACCUUUGCUUCCUAUACAUUUCCACAUCUGGUGCCAUUGUGUCAGACUGCCCCUCUGCUGUCAUUCGUCACACCCAACAAAAUGUAACAGAGUAUUGGUGGUAAGGUUCAACCUCUACUGUCAUACCACCAGCAUCCAUCUCUGAUAUCACGGGCCAACAUCAUAAAAUAGGAGACAUUACUUUUGGAGCAGCCCUUGUAGCUAGCACAUGUCAUCAUUAAACAAGGUAAACUACUGUAGAAAGGUAUUCUUCAUGUGUGAUAGGAUUAGAAAGCUUGCUACAAAUGCAUAUGCUACAUUAAUGAAUAUUAUUUUCCAUGUGUUCCUUUAGAACAGAAAAAUAGAGAGAGUAAUGGGUGUGUUGAAAUUAGAAUCUGGAGGAGAAAUUUUGUCUAUGUUUGGUAUUGUUCAUUUCAAUGUCCCAGUAUUCAUUCUCUGCUUUGUCUGGUUGGGAUUCUGACUUUCAUUAACUAGACUUGAAUACACCAUGGAAUAUAAAGUCACAUAUGAAAAAAAAAAUGCUUUGUUUCUCUCUUUUUUUUUCAAGUUCUUUCCAUCCAAAAGGAUAGAGUACAAUAUUGCCACCUCAGUAGUAUCAUUCUAUAUGAAGUCUACAUUUAGUAUGUAUUAAGUAUGCCUAGCUGCAUUAUGAGGGCAGAUUUCA